UUGUGUGUCCUAUUUUAUCUUUAUUCAAUAUUCGAUGAGCAACAAGGGUGAAAUGAUACACGGGGGCACUCGGGGAUGAUAUUUCCGAGCGUACAACAGUUGUUUUUCUCUCGAGUGUCAAAGUACCGAUUACCGAUAGUCAAUAGUUUUAGUACCAAUCGGUACUACAAAAGUUUUUUAUUAUUAUUAUAUACUAAAUAUUUAAUAUUAUCCAUCGCUGUCAGUCCUAUCGAUAUAAUGAAAUCAUAAAUAGCAAGAUGUACAGCAACAAUUGGAUGCAACAAUUACAAAACGCGCCAAACACUGCUAAUUUUCCAUCGAGAGAGUAUAAUUCGUCUGCUUGUGCGAUCCGUACGAUCCUUCUUGACAGUCUAUGAAAAUCAAGGAUCUUAAUUUAUCAGUCUGACUAAAUUGAUUGAAAAAGCCUUACUUAUGCUUUAUUAUUUAUUCUUAAGUACAUUCUGAAAUAUCCAUAAUUUUAUUGUGAUCAUACAACGAAAACAUACAUGGACCAUCUAAGCUCAAGUAUCCCUCAAGAAAAUCUUGAAUCUGUACUGAAUUUUACCAAAAACUGAAUUUUUGAUCAAUCUGCGGUUCUCGUAUCAAUGUGAUAUUAUUAUUAUUAUAUUAUCAAUAUUUAUAAAAUCGAUUCAUUACGUUAAUCCAUUACAUCCAUAGAGUAAAUUUAACAAUAUAAAAUGUAAAUAAAUUAUCCUUCCUAUACAUAAAUUAAUCUGGAAUUUAUGCAAGUCAUGUUUAUAUAAAAGUAUGAAAAGCGAGAUAAAUAUCCAAAACAAUUGAAUUUUGUACAGUACUUUUUUGAUAAAAUAAGGGCGUUCCAUUUUACGCAUAAGGCAUAAUUUAUCCUUGUUUAAUAUUCAGUAAACAAUAAGGAUAAGUGAUGCAUCACGCGCAUCAUGCGUGAAACGUACUCUACGUACGAUAGUGCAAAUAAAUGAAUU
Molecule: long non-coding RNA, 962 nt
Organism: Solenopsis invicta (red fire ant)
Lineage: Eukaryota; Metazoa; Arthropoda; Insecta; Hymenoptera; Formicidae
Exons: 2
Source: RefSeq, a predicted model, not a curated record